CUCCGGUGGAUCCCGCGGGACCCGACUGCUAUCGGAUUGAGAUUUAGCCAUGCGAGUCGAACGUCCCCCUGUUGCGGGGGGCGUGGCGUACGGCUCAGUAACACGUAGUCAACCUGCCCUGGAGACAAGGACAACCCCGGGAAACUGGGAUUAAUCCUUGAUAGGUCAUCUCAUCUGGAAGGAGAGAUGGCUUAAAGGGGUACGCGGGCUUCUUCCGCGAAUCUGCUCCAGGAUGGGACUGCGUCCGAUCAGGCUGUUGGCGGGGUAAUGGCCCACCAAACCUGUAACCGGUACGGGCCUUGAGAGAGGUGGCCCGGAGAUGGACACUGAGAGAAGGGUCCAGGUCCUACGGGGCGCAGCAGGCGCGAAACCUUCGCAAUGCGCGAAAGCGUGACGAGGUUAAUCCGAGUGACUCCCGCUGAGGGGGUCUUUUGUCAGCUGUAAAUAGGCAGGCGAAUAAGGGGAGGGCAAGCCUGGUGUCAGCCGCCGCGGUAAUACCAGCUCCUCGAGUGGUCGGGGCGAUUAUUGGGCCUAAAGCAUCCGUAGCCGGUUCCGUAGGUCCUCUGUUAAAUCCAACCGCUUAACGGUUGACCUGCAGAGGAUACCGCGGGACUAGGAGGCGGGAGAGGCGGACGGUACUCCGCGUGUAGGGGUAAAAUCCUUUGAUCCGCGGAAGACCACCAGUGGCGAAGGCGGUCCGCCAGAACGCGCUCGACGGUGAGGGAUGAAAGCUGGGGGAGCGAACCGGAUUAGAUACCCGGGUAGUCCCAGCCGUAAACGAUGCUAGCUAGAUGAUUCAUUCGCAAGUCGCGAAUGAAGUGUCGCAGGGAAGCCGUUAAGCUAGCCGCCUGGGGAGUACGGUCGCAAGACUGAAACUUAAAGGAAUUGGCGGGGGAGCA
RNAcentral lists this ribosomal RNA (899 nucleotides) under uncultured archaeon. RNAcentral describes it as "bacterial SSU rRNA". It matches the Rfam family "Archaeal small subunit ribosomal RNA", at positions 1 to 878 of the family's 1478-position model. The record is from RNAcentral.